AACACAUCAAAUUCAAAAGAGAAACGCUUGCUCUUAGUUUCCGUUGUCAUAAUUAUUGUUCCGUAAUCAUUGAAAGU
This 77-nucleotide transfer RNA is filed under the name Shewanella piezotolerans WP3. Its description in RNAcentral is "tRNA-Pro". Lineage: Bacteria; Pseudomonadati; Pseudomonadota; Gammaproteobacteria; Alteromonadales; Shewanellaceae. The record is from RNAcentral.